Molecule: ribosomal RNA, 483 nt
Filed under: uncultured bacterium
Lineage: Bacteria
Description: partial 16S ribosomal RNA
Rfam family: Bacterial small subunit ribosomal RNA
Source: RNAcentral
GACGAACGCUGGCGGCGUGCUUAACACAUGCAAGUCGAACGCUGAAGCUCAGCUUUUGUUGGGUGGAUGAGUGGCGAACGGGUGAGUAACACGUGAGUAACCUGCCACCUUCUUUGGGAUAACGCCCGGAAACGGGUGCUAAUACUGGAUAUUCACUGGUCUUCGCAUGGGGGUUGGUGGAAAGGGUUUUUCUGGUGGGGGAUGGGCUCGCGGCCUAUCAGCUUGUUGGUGGGGUGAUGGCCUACCAAGGCUUUGACGGGUAGCCGGCCUGAGAGGGCGACCGGUCACAUUGGGACUGAGAUACGGCCCAGACUCCUACGGGAGGCAGCAGUGGGGAAUAUUGCACAAUGGGCGCAAGCCUGAUGCAGCGACGCCGCGUGAGGGAUGGAGGCCUUCGGGUUGUGAACCUCUUUCGCUCAUGGUCAAGCCGCAACAAUGGUUGUGGUGAGGGUAGUGGGUAAAGAAGCGCCGGCUAACUACGUG